This 500-nucleotide ribosomal RNA is filed under the name uncultured bacterium. Its description in RNAcentral is "partial 16S ribosomal RNA". It matches the Rfam family "Bacterial small subunit ribosomal RNA", at positions 30 to 523 of the family's 1533-position model. The record is from RNAcentral.
AUUGAACGCUGGCGGCAUGCCUUACACAUGCAAGUCGAACGGCAGCACAGGAGCAAUCCUGGUGGCGAGUGGCGAACGGGUGAGUAAAGUAUCGGAACGUGCCCAGUCGUGGGGGAUAACGUAGCGAAAGUUACGCUAAUACCGCAUACGAUCUAUGGAUGAAAGCGGGGGAUCGCAAGACCUCGCGCGAUUGGAGCGGCCGAUAUCAGAUUAGGUAGUUGGUGGGGUAAAGGCUCACCAAGCCGACGAUCUGUAGCUGGUCUGAGAGGACGAACAGCCACACUGGGACUGAGACACGGCCCAGACUCCUACGGGAGGCAGCAGUGGGGAAUUUUGGACAAUGGGCGAAAGCCUGAUCCAGCCAUGCCGCGUGCAGGAUGAAGGCCUUCGGGUUGUAAACUGCUUUUGUACGGAACGAAAAGGCUCUGGUUAAUACCCGGGGCUCAUGACGGUACUGUAAGAAUAAGCACCGGCUAACUACGUGCCAGCCGCCGCCGUAA